CCUGCCGUCUACUCUUGGCCAGCCUUCUGAAAGGAAGAUUAAUCCAGGAUGGGAUCAUGAGUUCACAUGUCCGCAUGAUUAAAGGUAUUUUCCGGUAGACGAUGGGGAUGCGUUCCAUUAGAUAGUAGGCGGGGUAACGGCCCACCUAGUCAACGAUGGAUAGGGGUUCUGAGAGGAAGGUCCCCCACAUUGGAACUGAGACACGGUCCAAACUCCUACGGGAGGCAGCAGUGAGGAAUAUUGGUCAAUGGGCGAUGGCCUGAACCAGCCAAGUAGCGUGAAGGAUGACUGCCCUAUGGGUUGUAAACUUCUUUUAUAAAGGAAUAAAGUCGGGUAUGCAUACCCGUUUGCAUGUACUUUAUGAAUAAGGAUCGGCUAACUCCGUGCCAGCAGCCGCGGUAAUACGGAGGAUCCGAGCGUUAUCCGGAUUUAUUGGGUUUAAAGGGAGCGUAGAUGGAUGUUUAAGUCAGUUGUGAAAGUUUGCGGCUCAACCGUAAAAUUGCAGUUGAUACUGGAUGUCUUGAGUGCAGUUGAGGCAGGCGGAAUUCGUGGUGUAGCGGUGAAAUGCUUAGAUAUCACGAAGAACUCCGAUUGCGAAGGCAGCCUGCUAAGCUGCAACUGACAUUG
This 627-nucleotide ribosomal RNA is filed under the name uncultured bacterium. RNAcentral's name for it is "bacterial SSU rRNA". It matches the Rfam family "Bacterial small subunit ribosomal RNA", at positions 125 to 748 of the family's 1533-position model. The record is from RNAcentral.